RNAcentral lists this small RNA (148 nucleotides) under Macaca fascicularis (crab-eating macaque). RNAcentral's name for it is "Metazoan signal recognition particle RNA (ENSMFAG00000061974.1)". Lineage: Eukaryota; Metazoa; Chordata; Mammalia; Primates; Cercopithecidae. The record is from Rfam by way of RNAcentral.
GUCAGGUGUGGUGGUGCACGCCUGUAGUCCCAGCUGCUUAGGAGGCUGAGGCAUGAGAAUCACUUGAACCCAGGAGAUGGAGGUUGCAGUGAGCCAAGUUCAUGCCACUGCACUCCAGCCUGGGUAACAGAGUGAGACUCUGUCUCUA